GCUGGAAUUGCGCGGCGUGUAGUUGAUGAACACGAAGCCGCGGCACUGGUCGAUCGCAUGAAACAGCGGGUUCCAGUCGAACAUCGCCACCAUGUAGCCGGGCAGGGUGUUGGCCACGAACAUCUUGCCGGACGCGAUCAUGUUGGCGCGCUG
Molecule: small RNA, 153 nt
Organism: Pseudooceanicola atlanticus
Lineage: Bacteria; Pseudomonadati; Pseudomonadota; Alphaproteobacteria; Rhodobacterales; Paracoccaceae
Rfam family: Ruegeria cis2 sRNA
About the family: Cis-encoded. Targets ABC transporter. Functions in transport.
Source: Rfam